AACGAACGCUGGCGGCAGGCCUAACACAUGCAAGUCGAACGCUCGUAGCAAUACGGGAGUGGCGCACGGGUGAGUAACGCGUGGGAAAGUGCCCUUUAGUACGGGAUAGCACCGGGAAACUGGUGCUAAUACCGUAUACGCCCUUCGGGGGAAAGAUUUAUCGCUAAAGGAUCGGCCCGCGUCAGAUUAGCUAGUUGGUGGGGUAACGGCCUACCAAUGCUCCGAUCUGUAGCUGAUCUGAGAGGAUGAUCAGCCACACUGAAACUGAGACACGGUUCAGACUCCUACGGGAGGCAGCAGUGGGGAAUAAUGGACAAUGGGCGCAAGCCUGAUCCAGCCAUGCCGCGUGAGUGAUGAAGGCCCUAGGGUUGUAAAGCUCUUUUGUGCGGGAAGAUAAUGACGGUACCGCAAGAAUAAGCCCCGGCUAACUUCGUGCCAGCCGCCGCGGUA
RNAcentral lists this ribosomal RNA (450 nucleotides) under uncultured bacterium. RNAcentral describes it as "partial 16S ribosomal RNA". It matches the Rfam family "Bacterial small subunit ribosomal RNA", at positions 29 to 522 of the family's 1533-position model. The record is from RNAcentral.